RNAcentral lists this ribosomal RNA (494 nucleotides) under uncultured bacterium. RNAcentral's name for it is "partial 16S ribosomal RNA". It matches the Rfam family "Bacterial small subunit ribosomal RNA", at positions 29 to 507 of the family's 1533-position model. The record is from RNAcentral.
ACGAACGCUGGCGGCGUGCCUAAUACAUGCAAGUAGAACGCUGAAGGAGGAGCUUGCUCUUCUGGAUGAGUUGCGAACGGGUGAGUAACGCGUAGGUAACCUGCCUGGUAGCGGGGGAUAACUAUUGGAAACGAUAGCUAAUACCGCAUAAGAGUAGAUGUUGCAUGACAUUUACUUAAAAGGUGCAAUUGCAUCACUACCAGAUGGACCUGCGUUGUAUUAGCUAGUUGGUGGGGUAACGGCUUACCAAGGCGACGAUACAUAGCCGACCUGAGAGGGUGAUCGGCCACACUGGGACUGAGACACGGCCCAGACUCCUACGGGAGGCAGCAGUAGGGAAUCUUCGGCAAUGGACGGAAGUCUGACCGAGCAACGCCGCGUGAGUGCAGAAGGUUUUCGGAUCGUAAAGCUCUGUUGUAAGAGAAGAACGAGUGUGAGAGUGGAAAGUUCACACUGUGACGGUAUCUUACCAGAAAGGGACGGCUAACUACGUG